RNAcentral lists this ribosomal RNA (401 nucleotides) under uncultured bacterium. Its description in RNAcentral is "bacterial SSU rRNA". It matches the Rfam family "Bacterial small subunit ribosomal RNA", at positions 975 to 1375 of the family's 1533-position model. The record is from RNAcentral.
CUAAGCUUGACAUCCCUUGGACCGCUCCUUAAUCGGAGCUUUCCCUUCGGGGACUGAGGUGACAGGUGGUGCAUGGUUGUCGUCAGCUCGUGUCGUGAGAUGUUGGGUUAAGUCCCGCAACGAGCGCAACCCUUGCCUUUAGUUGCCAUCAUUAAGUUGGGCACUCUAGAGGGACUGCCGAGGAUAACUCGGAGGAAGGUGGGGAUGACGUCAAAUCAUCAUGCCCCUUAUGCUUAGGGCUACACACGUGCUACAAUGGCUAGUACAGAGGGCAGCGAAGCCGUGAGGUGGAGCCAAUCCCUUAAAGCUAGUCUCAGUUCGGAUUGUAGGCUGAAACUCGCCUACAUGAAGCUGGAGUUGCUAGUAAUCGCGGAUCAGAAUGCCGCGGUGAAUGCGUUCCC